GCGCGAAAACUUUGCAAUGCGGGAAACCGUGACAAGGGAACUCUGAGUGCCCGUAAAAUCGGGCUGUCCAUCGGUUUAAAUAACCGGUGAAGAAAGGGCCGGGCAAGACCGGUGCCAGCCGCCGCGGUAAUACCGGCGGCUCGAGUGGUGGCCACUAUUACUGGGCUUAAAGCGUUCGUAGCUGGUUUGUUAAGUCUCUGGGGAAAUCUUCCGGCUUAACCGGAAGGCGUUUCAGGGAUACUGGCAGACUAGGGACCGGGAGAGGUGAGAGGUACUCCAGGGGUAGGAGUGAAAUCCUGUAAUCCUUGGGGGACCACCUGUGGCGAAGGCGUCUCACCAGAACGGCUCCGACAGUGAGGGACGAAAGCUGGGGGAGCAAACCGG
This 384-nucleotide ribosomal RNA is filed under the name uncultured bacterium. RNAcentral's name for it is "bacterial SSU rRNA". It matches the Rfam family "Archaeal small subunit ribosomal RNA", at positions 339 to 727 of the family's 1478-position model. The record is from RNAcentral.